UGGUAUUUUUUUUUUAAUUCAGGUACUACUUCAACUAAAUUAAAUUGGAUCUUCCGGAACUCUUUGAAAAUUCAGGUGAGUAUUGGAAAAAUUUAAAUAAUGUUAGGUGGUGGAUUUCUGGUAAAAAUAGUGGGAUUUGGUGAGUUACACUGGCAAAACUGUGGGAUUUAAAUGAAGUAAAAACGAACGGAGAAAAAUGGAAUAUGGAAUAAGCGGCUUACACAGACAUCCCUCAAGAAGUUCCAUGACAAUACGACCAAUGGUCGGAAGCCAAAAUUGUCGCAGGACCGAAUGGAAACUCUAGACUGCGAUUUCUGAAGACAAAAAUUAGGGUGCAAUAAAGGCAGCUUGCAAUUGUGGUUCUUCCCAACAAGUAUGUACGAAAGGCAAACAAAGAUGGAGUGUCGAUUGCACUUAAAAUCGACGAACUGAUUAAAAGCCUGGUUACCUAACCUUGAAUAGAGCUCUGUUCAACGUCGUGUACCUACAGACUAACCAAAAGAAAAAACCGCGGAAUUUAAUUAUGAUGCUUCGUCGUCCGUCUGUCUGUCCGAGGUUUCGUGUAUAAAAUGUCGAUUGGGAAUACCAAGCCACGCUGGGUUAGCAAUGGCGCAAAAUCAGCGGCUCCCUCGAUGGAUUGGAUGGGCGAUGGUGUGGCUUGUAGGCUCCAAUUAUUCAGGAAUUUUUAGGUUUAAGAUUUAUUUUCUUGUUUUAGAUUUUUAGUUAAUUUUUUUGGUUUUUUUUUCAAUUUUGUUAAAUUGUUUCCAAACUUUGUUUUAAUUUUAAGAAAAGUUCAAUUUGUCUUCUAAUUUUAAAUUUUUGUGAAAACUAUUUGUUUUGUUUUCUUUCAACUUUUAGCCUUUUGUUGUUAAAUUUUGCUUAAUUAUUUUAAGGCUUCCAAUUUUGUUAAAAAAAGUUUGUAUUUCGUGUUGUUGGUAUAUGUGUUUCAAACAAAUAAAAACAUUGAAUUCACUUCUCAACAAGUGG
Molecule: long non-coding RNA, 987 nt
Organism: Musca domestica (house fly)
Lineage: Eukaryota; Metazoa; Arthropoda; Insecta; Diptera; Muscidae
Exons: 5
Source: RefSeq, a predicted model, not a curated record